Manduca sexta (tobacco hornworm) is the source of this 4406-nucleotide long non-coding RNA. RefSeq lists it as uncharacterized. The record is from RefSeq and is a predicted model, not a curated record. Lineage: Eukaryota; Metazoa; Arthropoda; Insecta; Lepidoptera; Sphingidae. The transcript is spliced from 2 exons.
CAGUUCUUUGCGAAGUUUGAAUUUGGAACCGCCGCGCCGCGUUGUGUAUCGGCUGGUGCUAGUGAUGGGGCUCUCUGAGGGCACUAUGUCCGUUGUCUCUGGAGGAGCUGUCGCCUUCGUGCGGCGAAGGAAGCUGCGCUUCGGAGCCUGUGGAAGAAGAUCUAUGAAUUGCGUCAGAAAAAUGGACUAUUUAAGCAGCAUAGAAAAUAUAACGUGACCAGAACUACAAAGUGAAGAGACGAAAUUCCGGUUGAGAAAAAAGAACAAGAUGGCGCGUCGAUUGAAAAAUCAAGAUGGCGGAUCAAGAUUUUGAAGACGUUUAUUUAAGAUGAUGGAACUAAAUAGAAAAUAACGACUUUUUAUGAGAAUUGUAUAAUAAAACAAGUCAAUUUGCGUGUUUACUUUAUUAUCCUCACACCUUAGUCCUUAUCUUAUAAAUAAUAGUUUAUGUAAGGACAGAAAAUAUCAGCAAAGUUAGCAGUAACGUCUAGCUACUAAUAAAUCUAAUCACAAGAAUCUAUUAUUAAAAUAAGCACGAUUCGACUUUUUUUUUAUCUUUAUUUAAGGAGCUUGGUCGUUAUUUGAAACUUAAAAUUUGUUUGAUGAACGAGCGUAGUGCAAUUUAUCAUAUAAUAAGGAUUUUUUAAUCCAAAGAUCAGAUAUUUAUUGUUUUAAGACAAACGUAAUUACUAUUAGGCGUGAGAAGAGAAUCCUGCUCACUCGAAAAUAAAGAAAUAAGUUUGUAUAUUUUUGUCCCCAAUUCUAUUUUCAAAUUGCUGGCUCACUAUUACACAGUCCUAUGCAAUUUUUUAUGUAUGUUAAACAAUGAGAUUUGGACUUUUCAUGUUAGUAAAAUUUUGAAAAGCCAUAAUUCAUGAUUCUUCCUUCAUUUGUCAUUUUAUUUUACUUUCGGGGUUAUUGGAUGUUUUCCUAAGAAGAGUAAAAGAUGUAGUCAUGUGAUAUAUCUAUUUCGUGCAAGAUAUAUAAAUUAGAACCUUGUAAUAGUAAGCGAGCGAAAUGUAAUGACAUUUGCCGCCAUUUUGCAUGAAAUGCAAAACAAAUUGUAUGUAAAGAAACUUUUGCAACAAAAGAACGAAUCAGUGGAAAGCAUUUAAUCUGCUGUUAGGAAAGAGUCUUCCUUGCAAUCUGGUCACGCGACGCUAGUAUCCAUCUACGUUAGAUAUGACCGACUGUAUAUAGAGCUAUUUAUUUAAUAAAAAUAGAAAAUACACCUCUGUGUCUAAUGUAGCGUGAACAGGUAUAAACUACGAGAUCUUGAUUAAAUUCUUAGGUUAGGGAGCAGUUUUUCUAACAGAAUUUCUGUAGGAUUCCUCAGAGUUUUGACGUCUGAUACUUAGUUAGUCUUAAAACUAAGACAUAUUUUCUACUAUAUGUAAGAGCAAAUGUGCUAUAUCUCAUCAUCAUAAUCAUCAUCGGCCCUGUAUAAAAUACUGUCCCACUGUUGGGCACGGGCCUUCUCUACUACUGAGAUGGCUUAGGCCUUAGUCCACCACGUUGGCCUAGUGCGAAUUGGAAGACUUCACACACCUUCGAAAUUUCUAUAAACUAUACCAACCAAUCUUAUAUUCCAAUUAAGAUAAUGAUAAAGAAUAUGAAGAGACUUCUUUUUAAAUUAUAUUGAGAAGACUAAAGAAAACCUUAAUAUUGAAAUUACUAUAAUGGGAUAAGUAUUAAUCCGGUUUUGUAGUUAUUUAAGCGGAAACAUUAAAUGCAAAUGACUCCCUGGUGUAAGCGGAAAUCAUCCUUAAUGACUUGUAUAUGGCGUAUGGUAAUAAACGCAGUACAUGCUGCUUGAGUAUACAUAAACAACUUACUCUUAAGUAUUUUUAAAUAGUAUUAAUUUUAUAAUGAUUAAAUAUAAUUAUACUAAAGUAGCGAGUGGAACGAACUGACAAUGGUUUAGUAUCUCAGGUUCUAUUCCAGAGAACACAACUCUAACUUUUCGAGGUUAGGUGUCUUUAUCAUUAUAUAUUUAUAAAGUACAUAUAGAACCUGCAUGCAUUAAGCACAUAUUCGUAUCAUGAUAAGGGACGAUCCUAUCGCCAUAUCGAGCACAAAUUCCUCACUCCGAACUGAUACUGUGAUGAAAAACUUAAUAUCACUGCCUGACUCGAGAUUCAAACCUAACACCUUAGAACAAAUACUAUGUAAUAGCAUAUAUUUUCGCGACUAUUAUAGGAACAUGACGCUGAGCUCUUAUUCGUCUUCUAAUAAAAGGUAAGAUUAUCGCCAUAUCGAACAUAUAUUCUGACAACUGAGGUGUAUAACACGAAUAGAAAUAUACACGAGAAGUUAUUUCGGUACAAAACAAUUUAUAAAAUGAUGCUUUCGAUUUUGAGUGAUAGAAAUUAUAAUCAAAUUUAUCAUACAAGUGAAAUCUAACCAGAGGAAAGAAAGUGUACAAACUAUUAUAUUUUACUAGCUUUUUCCAGCAGCUUCGCCUGUGUGUUAAAGGUUUUCUGGGAUAAAAAAUAGCCUAUAGCACUUAGGAUCCUAUUAGUGAAAUUGAUUUAGUUGUUCCUGAGAUUAGUGCGUUCCAACAAACAAACUCAUCAGCUUCAUAUAUUAGUAUAUAGCAACACAAUUUCAACCGACCGGACACUCUCACAGUUUCUAACAUAAUUAUCGAAAGUGUCGAUAAAAUACACGCAAUUUUUUAUUGAUUUCUAUAUUAAACUAUUAUAGAUAAUUCAAGUUCUAUUUUACCUCUGCAAAUUGUAUUUUCCAAUAGGAGUGGUAAACAAUGCUUGCAAAACAACGCUUUUGACAUUACUACCUAGCCGCUCGUUAUUUACUUAUUACGGAGAGUAACAAAAAGUUUUAUAUUCAAAUUAUAUGUCUAAGAUGGUAACAACAAAAGGAAAAUUAGCGGGAUCAAUCUAUUUUAGGGUAAAAUCUAUACUAAUAUUAUAAAGACGAAGAGUUUUGGAGUUUGUAGACUAAUCUCUGGAACCACUGAACUGAUUUUGAAAAUUCUUUUUCUUAUAGGAAGCUGCAUUACUUUUGAGUGCUUUUGAAAAGCUUUGUCACGCGGACAGAGCCGCAGGCAAAAACUAGUAAAAUAUAAAAUUAAAUAACAUGUAAAUGAUAAAUAUGUAAAUGAUGUGAAGAUUAAUUGUUUAUCUUAAUGUACAACGAGCCUUAGCAAUGUCGGAUAAUCCUUAAGAUUUAUUUAUAGAUGCUAUUUGAUCAUUAUCUUUCUCAUAAAAGGCAGGCAAAUAUAUAAAUUAUUGUAAUUCAAGAAGUAUCUUUCCACGUUUGUUGGCUAUAUAUUACAUACUUAUUUUAAAUAAAUGGCUAACUUAUGUGCAAGAUUUUUUUCACAAUUCAAUGCUAGGGUACUCAUGGACUAUUAUAGAACAGUAGGACUUGGGAUCAAAUCCCAGUCUAAGUAACACUUUGCGUAGCUUUUUAUAACAAUUUGUUUGGAUUAAAAAUAAAAAAUUCUUAAAUUAAAUUGGGAUUUCUAAAGAUCUCCUCUAGCGAUAGGGCAGUCCUUUGUACACCAUAGAUGUAAGAAAAUGUAUUAAUCUUGUUUGUUGCAUGUAAUAAUAGUUAAAAUAAAGAGUAUUGUAUUGCUUUGUAUUGUAUUGCUUUAAAACAUAGUUGACAAAAUGUAGCAUGAUAAAUCUAUUUAAACAUCAAAGUUAUAGACUCCUCAAUAAUUAAGAAAUCCAAUGAUGCAAACUUUACGGUCGAUUUUCCACAAUUUUUAUAUCAGCAAGUGGAUAGACGCUAAUUUUGUGUAAACUAGGUUUAGGCUAAGGUAAAUUUUGUGAAGUGAAGGGCGCUGCGCCGACGCAGUCCAGUUUGGCGUACGAUCAUUAUGUUGGAUUAAGCAAUCCGCGCAAAAACUGAUUUGAAUGAUUAAUUUAACAUAUAUGGCAUCUAGCCUAGUAGAUAUGUAAUGAAGACUUUAACCGCAAAUUAUAGUUUAUAACCUCUUGAACUAGCUGCAUACAUUUAAUUGAGGCUAUUUAUUUGCCUUAUGAUUAACACCUCCCCAUAAACAUUAACAAUACAACUUUAAAUUAAAUGUAAUUCAUUACGUUCGUAGUGUCUGUCCUAAUGACCUUCAGACGAAAGAUAGUCUUUGCUUAUUGCUUAGCAACAAAAACAGAUAGAAGUAGUGGCUUCUAUUAAAAAGAAUUCUUCCAUGUAAGGACCUUCCACGACGUUAAAACUUUAUAAAUUAAGUAAAAAUACUUUUUUACGAAUACAAGCACUAAUUCAACAUUAACUAAAAAAAUAGGCAAUAAAUUAUUAUGUUUUAAGUACUAGUGGUAGUUGAUUUGACACUUGAUAAUAAUAUUUUGUCUAUUGUUUCUGCAAUAAAUUGGAUUUGUAAAACUUCUUUUUAUAUAAAUAAAUAUUUCUUAAACGGA